Molecule: ribosomal RNA, 275 nt
Filed under: uncultured Larkinella sp.
Lineage: Bacteria; Pseudomonadati; Bacteroidota; Cytophagia; Cytophagales; Spirosomataceae
Description: partial 16S ribosomal RNA
Rfam family: Bacterial small subunit ribosomal RNA
Source: RNAcentral
CCUACGGGGGGCUGCAGUAGGGAAUAUUGGGCAAUGGUCGAAAGACUGACCCAGCCAUGCCGCGUGCAGGAUGAAGGCGCUCAGCGUUGUAAACUGCUUUUGAUAGGGAAGAACGGCCUUUCUGCGGAGAGGUGUGACGGUACCUACAGAAUAAGCACCGGCUAACUCCGUGCCAGCAGCCGCGGUAAUACGGAGGGUGCAAGCGUUGUCCGGAUUUAUUGGGUUUAAAGGGUGCGUAGGUGGCUUUUUAAGUCUGACCUGAAAGUGGGCCGCUU